UCUCCUACGGGAGGCAGCAGUGGGGAAUAUUGGACAAUGGGGGGAACCCUGAUCCAGCGACGCCGCGUGAAGGAAGAAGGCUUUCGGGUUGUAAACUUCUUUUAAGGGGGAAGAGCAGAAGACGGUACCCCUUGAAUAAGCCACGGCUAACUACGUGCCAGCAGCCGCGGUAAUACGUAGGUGGCAAGCGUUGUCCGGAUUUACUGGGUGUAAAGGGCGUGCAGCCGGAGAGACAAGUCAGAUGUGAAAUCCGCAGGCUCAACCUGCGAACUGCAUUUGAAACUGUUUCCCUUGAGUAUCGGAGG
Molecule: ribosomal RNA, 305 nt
Filed under: uncultured bacterium
Lineage: Bacteria
Description: bacterial SSU rRNA
Rfam family: Bacterial small subunit ribosomal RNA
Source: RNAcentral